GAUGAACGCUAGCGGCAGGCUUAACACAUGCAAGUCGAGGGGUAUAGUAGCAAUACUAGAGACCGGCGCACGGGUGCGUAACGCGUAUGCAAUCUACCUUUCACAGAGGGAUAGCCCAGAGAAAUUUGGAUUAAUACCUCAUAGUAUAGUAUCUUGGCAUCAAGGAACUAUUAAAGUCACAACGGUGAAAGAUGAGCAUGCGUCCCAUUAGUUAGUUGGUAAGGUAACGGCUUACCAAGACUACGAUGGGUAGGGGUCCUGAGAGGGAGAUCCCCCACACUGGUACUGAGACACGGACCAGACUCCUACGGGAGGCAGCAGUGAGGAAUAUUGGAUAAUGGGCGCAAGCCUGAUCCAGCCAUGCCGCGUGCAGGAUGACGGUCCUAUGGAUUGUAAACUGCUUUUGUACAGGAAGAAACACCCCGACGUGUCGGGACUUGACGGUACUGUAAGAAUAAGGAUCGGCUAACUCCGUGCCAGCAGCCGCCGUAA
This 492-nucleotide ribosomal RNA is filed under the name uncultured bacterium. Its description in RNAcentral is "partial 16S ribosomal RNA". It matches the Rfam family "Bacterial small subunit ribosomal RNA", at positions 28 to 523 of the family's 1533-position model. The record is from RNAcentral.